RNAcentral lists this non-coding RNA (115 nucleotides) under unclassified sequences. Its description in RNAcentral is "c-di-GMP sequence". It matches the Rfam family "c-di-GMP-II-GAG riboswitch aptamer". The record is from Rfam by way of RNAcentral.
GGGCGAGCGAGACACGAUGAUCCGGGAAGUCCACACCGACGCCGCGAGGCGCACGGAGACAAGACGGUCGCCUAGACACCCGGGGGAGUGAGUGGCGAGACCGGCUCGUUCGAGC